This 401-nucleotide unclassified non-coding RNA is filed under the name soil metagenome. RNAcentral describes it as "partial contains 5.8S ribosomal RNA, internal transcribed spacer 2, and large subunit ribosomal RNA". The stretch from base 1 to 120 matches the Rfam family "5.8S ribosomal RNA", at positions 35 to 154 of the family's 154-position model. The record is from RNAcentral.
GAUGAAGAACGUAGCGAAAUGCGAUAAGUAAUGUGAAUUGCAGAAUUCAGUGAAUCAUCGAAUCUUUGAACGCACCUUGCGCCCUUUGGACUUCUGAAGGGCAUGCCUGUUUGAGUAUCAUGAACACCUCAACUCCUUAUGGUCUUCCAUGAUGAGCUUGGACUUUGGGGGUUUUGCUGGCCUACAGUCAGCUCCUCUAAAAUAAAUCAGCUUACCGGUGUUUGGUGGGUAUCAUGGGUGUGAUAACUAUCUACGCUCGUGGUUUUCCACCAGGUAACCUUCAGCAGUGGAGGUUCACUGGAGCUCAUAGAUGUCUCUCCUCAGCGAGGACAGCCCUUUGAAUGUUUGAUCUCAAAUCAGGUAGGACUACCCGCUGAACUUAAGCAUAUCAUAAGCGGAGA